Non-coding RNA from Equus caballus (horse), 73 nucleotides. The record is from the annotation of a RefSeq genome assembly. Lineage: Eukaryota; Metazoa; Chordata; Mammalia; Perissodactyla; Equidae.
GUUUCCGUAGUAUAGCGGUUAUCACGCUUGCCUAACAUGUGAGAGGUCCUUGGUUCAAAAUCAAGCGGAAACA